UACGUAGGGGGCGAGCGUUGUCCGGAAUUAUUGGGCGUAAAGGGCGCGUAGGCGGCAUGAUGUGUCAUGUGUGAAAACCAUAGGCUCAACCUGUGGAUUGCAUAUGAAACUGUCGUGCUUGAGUGCAGGAGAGGAAAGCGGAAUUCCCAGUGUAGCGGUGAAAUGCGUAGAUAUUGGGAGGAACACCAGUGGCGAAGGCGGCUUUCUGGACUGUAACUGACGCUGAGGCGCGAGAGCGUGGGGAGCAAACAGG
RNAcentral lists this ribosomal RNA (253 nucleotides) under uncultured bacterium. RNAcentral describes it as "partial 16S ribosomal RNA". It matches the Rfam family "Bacterial small subunit ribosomal RNA", at positions 524 to 776 of the family's 1533-position model. The record is from RNAcentral.